ACCUCGCGGCCGGUCACGGCCGUCGAGGGGUGUUGCGUACAGGUGGGUCCGCACCGCCCGUGCCACCUACCGCCUAAGUCGUUGCUUAAAAGCAGCCCACAGCAGGGUGAAAGGCCCGUGUGGCGGCGCCUGUGAAAAGGGUUUAGGCGGCGCGGGCGGAGGGACCUUCACCGGAGAGUCGGGUUGCUUAGUACUGCAGCCCAAAGCAGGUGGUAAACUCCAUCUAAGGCUAAAUACGACCACGAGUCCGAUAGCAGACAAGUACCGUGAGGGAAAGUUGAAAAGCACUCUGAAGAGAGAGUCAAGAGGACGUGAAACCACUAGAAGCGCAAACGGGUGGAGCCGUGAAGGUCGAACGAGAGGGGGAUUCAGCCCGCGGGCGGGCGGCGGCAGCGGGGCGGCGCAUACGAAUAAUUGACAUGAGAGGACCCGGCAUAAACUGGUGCAUGGCCGGUGCCCGGCCCCCGCCGCACGCCCGCUCCGCGGGUUUACUUCUCCCGAAUCCAGUAGCACGCCGCGAGCCCCCGGCUUGCCCUCCCCGAAGGCCGUCCCGGAUUGGUAGGCCCGAC
RNAcentral lists this ribosomal RNA (569 nucleotides) under Heptacarpus geniculatus. Its description in RNAcentral is "eukaryotic LSU rRNA". It matches the Rfam family "Eukaryotic large subunit ribosomal RNA", at positions 118 to 481 of the family's 3401-position model. Lineage: Eukaryota; Metazoa; Arthropoda; Malacostraca; Decapoda; Hippolytidae. The record is from RNAcentral.